Molecule: ribosomal RNA, 53 nt
Filed under: Asparagus officinalis (garden asparagus)
Lineage: Eukaryota; Viridiplantae; Streptophyta; Magnoliopsida; Asparagales; Asparagaceae
Description: partial small subunit ribosomal RNA
Source: RNAcentral
UGACAUGCUUUAAAGACAUUGUCUCACCCUCGAGCGAGACGACUGCGAACUAG